CCUACGGGGGGCAGCAGUGAGGAAUAUUGGUCAAUGGGCUUACGCCUGAACCAGCCAAGUCGCGUGAGGGAAGACUGCCCUAUGGGUUGUAAACCUCUUUUGUCAGGGAGCAACGCCGGCUACGUGUAGCCGGACUGAGAGUACCUGAAGAAAAAGCAUCGGCUAACUCCGUGCCAGCAGCCGCGGUAAUACGGAGGAUGCGAGCGUUAUCCGGAUUUAUUGGGUUUAAAGGGUGCGUAGGCGGAAUGCCAAGUCAGCGGUAAAAGCGCGGGGCUCAACCGCGUUCCGCCGUUGAAACUGGCGUUCUUGAGUGGGCGAGAAGUAUGCGGAAUGCGUGGUGUAGCGGUGAAAUGCAUAGAUAUCACGCAGAACUCCGAUUGCGAAGGCAGCAUACCGGCGCCCAACUGACGCUGAAGCACGAAAGCGUGGGUAUCGAACAGGAUUAGAUACCCGAGUAGUC
RNAcentral lists this ribosomal RNA (460 nucleotides) under uncultured bacterium. Its description in RNAcentral is "partial 16S ribosomal RNA". It matches the Rfam family "Bacterial small subunit ribosomal RNA", at positions 338 to 795 of the family's 1533-position model. The record is from RNAcentral.